This 250-nucleotide ribosomal RNA is filed under the name uncultured prokaryote. RNAcentral describes it as "partial 16S ribosomal RNA". It matches the Rfam family "Bacterial small subunit ribosomal RNA", at positions 524 to 773 of the family's 1533-position model. The record is from RNAcentral.
UACGUAGGGGGCAAGCGUUAUCCGGAUUUACUGGGUGUAAAGGGAGCGUAGACGGCUUGGCAAGUCUGAAGUGAAAGCUCGGGGCUCAACCCCGGAACUGCUUUGAAAACUGCCUGGCUAGAGUGCAGGAGAGGUAAGCGGAAUUCCUAGUGUAGCGGUGAAAUGCGUAGAUAUUAGGAGGAACACCAGAGGCGAAGGCGGCUUACUGGACUGUAACUGACGUUGAGGCUCGAAGGCGUGGGGAGCAAAC